This 1902-nucleotide long non-coding RNA is filed under the name Canis lupus familiaris (dog). RNAcentral's name for it is "lncRNA (ENSCAFG00040004103.1)". Lineage: Eukaryota; Metazoa; Chordata; Mammalia; Carnivora; Canidae. The record is from RNAcentral.
CACCUCCUUGUCCGUCCCCUCGGAGGGGACCCACCAGAGAAAGUUCUCUUAGGCCUCAGCCGUAGAAGGAGCGGGUCCACUGCCUUUUUAGUUUUAGGGACUGGAGGUUCUCCUCUUCAUCCUGGCCCGCGGGGAGCUCAGGGCCACCUUAUCGGUGUCCCUCUGGGCGCUCAUGUCCGUGUGACCGUGUAUUAACCUCACUUCUGGUUCCAGCACGGACGCCCCCACUCCGACGUUACCCGGUUCCUCCAUCCGCUUGCUUCAGCCUUUCGUUCUGUGGGCAUCCUUCGGAGAAGGACCAGAGGCCUGAGGAAGGGAGGAAGGAACAGGUCCCAGAGGAUGCAAGAUGCUCCUGCCAUAAAGUAAAGGUGGAAGCCAGAGCUGCCCUCCGUGAAGCCCUGGGGGGCUGGUGGCCAACCCUUGCCACCCUGACUCUGAUGCGCACGGUUGACGGCUGCUUCUCGGGCCAACGUGGGUCAGCAGAGCAUCACCUCCCUGGCCACCUGUUGGAAGUGGGGCCUGAGGCUGGGUGCUGUGUGCGUUGUCUUGGCUACAGGCUGUGGGUCUGACAUGGUUUCCUUGUGCUGAAGACGUGGUGGUGAAAAUUCAGUGGUUCCUGUUCCGUGGCCGCCAGUCUUUUCACCAACAUCCCUCGCCUUGUCAUCGCUCUGGCUCACCUGACGUCGGCGGAGCAGUGGCUAACGGUGGCACCUUCCCACUGCUGGGGGCACGGUCUUUCUUCCCAAGGGAAGGAGAGAGAGGUCACCCUCUGGGUCUUGGAGCCAAUGAAUGCAGCCGAGGCCGGGAGAGCCCACAAGUUGGAGUGUCUGAAGAUGGGCCCAUCAGCCUUAAUUUGCACUGCAUCACAUUUGCAAGUUGCAAAAUGGAAUUUGCAAUUGCUUUUUGGCAAUGUUCAAAUUAGCACUUCUUAGCAUAUUAAUGAACUACUUUUUUUUUUUUUCAUUAUGUGACCAAUUUUAAUGUAAAUAGCAGUCUCAAUGCAAGGAUUAGGUCAGUGUUUUAUGAGAGCAAAGUUCCAAAGCUUUCCAAGGAGGCAAAGAAUCUGGCUUUUGGGGAUCCCUGGGUGGCUCAGUGGUUUAGCGCCUGCCUUUGGCCCAGGGCGUGAUCCUGGAGACCGGGAUCGAGUCCGCAUCGGGCUCCCGGCAUGGAGCCUGCUUCUCCCUCUGCCUGUGUCUCUGCCUCUCUCUCUCCUCUCUCUGUCUAUCAUGAAUAAAUAAAUAAAAUCUUAAAAAAAAAAAAAAAGAAGAAUCUGGCUUUUGGGCGGCCAUGGCUUCCGCACAGAAUGUGUGGAUUUUUCAGCCCCCCUAGCCCAGCAGGUUUAGGUCACAGAGGCGACCCGUGGCUCUGGGCUCAGGAGGCUGGACGGUUAACCACAAGGGGGGUUGCAACCGCCCUGCCUGAAGAGGCUGGUGACUCAGCCCGUGGGGCAGGACAGCAUGUUCACGCCCGCGUCUCCAACAGGGGUUAAAUGUGGGUGGCGUGCCCCGGAUCACUCUCAGGGCCACAAAGGGAGCAACGUCCUUCAGAACAGGCGAAAAUCCGCCACGAUGAGGGUUCUUUGUGAAUUCCCCUUCCUGAGAUCCUUUCCUGCCUGAUGCUCCUCUGGGGUCUGCUUCAGGCAGCCGGGCCCCAAGUCUGGAGAGCACAGUGCCCACAAUUGGUCAGGAAGAACCAGAACUAUCCCUCCCUCCCAGGAUCUUGUAGCUCCGGGCGACAAGAGCUGCCUAGGGAUGGGACCCGACGCGUAGGGGAGAAGAAGCCACCUCGGAGGAUGCUACGAUAGGUCCAGAGGCCACAGAGGUGGUCAGAGACAGGGUGGGUGUCAGUAGGGGCUCCCGGAAACCCUGGGAGCCGGAGGGAGAGGCUGGAACCCGGGGAGUG